This 427-nucleotide ribosomal RNA is filed under the name uncultured bacterium. RNAcentral describes it as "partial 16S ribosomal RNA". It matches the Rfam family "Bacterial small subunit ribosomal RNA", at positions 355 to 774 of the family's 1533-position model. The record is from RNAcentral.
UGGGGAAUAUUGCACAAUGGGCGCAAGCCUGAUGCAGCCAUGCCGCGUGUGGGAAGAAGGCCUUCGGGUUGUAAAGCACUUUCAGCGAGGAGGAAGGGUAGUGUGUUAAUAGCACAUUGCAUUGACGUUACUCGCAGAAGAAGCACCGGCUAACUCCGUGCCAGCAGCCGCGGUAAUACGGAGGGUGCAAGCGUUAAUCGGAAUUACUGGGCGUAAAGCGCACGCAGGCGGUUUGUUAAGUCAGAUGUGAAAUCCCCGCGCUUAACGUGGGAACUGCAUUUGAAACUGGCAAGCUAGAGUCUUGUAGAGGGGGGUAGAAUUCCAGGUGUAGCGGUGAAAUGCGUAGAGAUCUGGAGGAAUACCGGUGGCGAAGGCGGCCCCCUGGACAAAGACUGACGCUCAGGUGCGAAAGCGUGGGGAGCAAACA